UACAAAAUAAGGAAGAUCUAGAGAAUAUUGCUGCAAGAUUUAGGUGAGCCACUGAUAAGCUGCCACCUCAUUUCCUCCUAACUGAAUUUGUUGAUUUAUCAUGUGAUGAAAUCUUCUAGAUACUUUGGCAAGAUUUAGGUGAGCCACUGAUAAGCUGCCACCUCAUUUCCUCCUAACUGAAUUUGUUGAUUUAUCAUGUGAUGAAAUCUUCUAGAUACUUUGGCAUGUGGACUUCUCUCUUGGGCCUUCCCAUUGCAAAAUCAUGGGCCACUUCCACUGUGUUUUCUUCAGCCCAUUU
This 298-nucleotide long non-coding RNA is filed under the name Lathyrus oleraceus (garden pea). Its description in RNAcentral is "Pisum sativum (pea) long non-coding RNA (PSAT_LNC002240)". Lineage: Eukaryota; Viridiplantae; Streptophyta; Magnoliopsida; Fabales; Fabaceae. The record is from RNAcentral.